CCGAGUUUACAACUCCCAAACCCUUUGUGAACCUUACCUACGUUGCUUCGGCGGGUCGAUCUUCGUCCCGCCGAGGGCCUGAAACUCUUGUUUUGUUAGUGGUAUUCUCUCUGAGUGACACAAGCAAAUAAAUUA
RNAcentral lists this unclassified non-coding RNA (135 nucleotides) under uncultured Sordariomycetes. RNAcentral describes it as "sequence contains ITS1". The record is from RNAcentral. Lineage: Eukaryota; Fungi; Ascomycota; Sordariomycetes.